This 285-nucleotide ribosomal RNA is filed under the name Triticum aestivum (bread wheat). RNAcentral describes it as "partial small subunit ribosomal RNA". Lineage: Eukaryota; Viridiplantae; Streptophyta; Magnoliopsida; Poales; Poaceae. The record is from RNAcentral.
AUGGGAGCAACAUCUCUGAAGGGAGGUGAAGUAGAGCCGGUCGGCUGCUUAAGGCAAGGAAGAUCCGGCAAGGUGAUCACUGAAGCUCGACGAAGAGGCGGCGACCCGGAGGCGUUCACGGCAGGCUGUUUGAGGUGGUGCAAUAGCAAGGGUGUUGCCAGCAGGGGAGGCCUUGGCAUGGUAGCUCACCACGGAGGUGGCGAGUGGUGGCUUGGUGCAGACAAGGCGAAGGAGCGAGGCCAAGGUGGAGGUCUAAAGCGACUCGGCGCGAAGCCCUCCCAGUGA